Molecule: long non-coding RNA, 461 nt
Filed under: Brassica rapa (field mustard)
Lineage: Eukaryota; Viridiplantae; Streptophyta; Magnoliopsida; Brassicales; Brassicaceae
Description: long non-coding RNA (BRAP_LNC002077)
Source: RNAcentral
UGGAGUUGGUGUUGGCGGUGUUACGACCGGUGGGCUUGGUGUUGGUGGCGUAACAACAGGUGGCGGUGGGCACGGUGAUGGCGGUGGCGGUGGGCACGGUGAUGGCGGCGUUACGACGGGUGGAGGCGUAUGAGUGGGUGGUUUAGGGGUGGACGGAGGUGGUUUAACAGUGGGCGGUUUCGUGGGUGGUUUCGGGGUAGACGGAGGAGGUUUAACGGUGGGCGGUUUCGUGGGUGGUUUCGGGGUGGACGGAGGUGGUUUAACGGUGGGCGGUUUCGUGGGUGGUUUCGGGGUGGGAUGAGGUUUGGUAGGGGGUUUCGGAUGUGGGUGUGGUUUGACAGUGGGCGGUUUGGUAGGGGGUUUAGGGUGUGGGUGUGGUUUGACGGUGGGUGGUUUGGGAGGUUUUACUGCCGGUGGUUUAGGCGGUUUGCUAGGAUGUUUAGGCGGUUUGUGGGGGUGAG